Molecule: transfer RNA, 79 nt
Filed under: subsurface metagenome
Description: tRNA-Arg
Source: RNAcentral
CGACUGGUGGACUGGCUGGUCUUUCGGCUGCGGAUCGAAGGAAGAAAAAACCUGGCCGCGGUUGAGUCCGCCCUGUUGG